RNAcentral lists this ribosomal RNA (372 nucleotides) under uncultured organism. Its description in RNAcentral is "partial 16S ribosomal RNA". It matches the Rfam family "Bacterial small subunit ribosomal RNA", at positions 527 to 896 of the family's 1533-position model. The record is from RNAcentral.
GUAGGUGGCAAGCGUUGUCCGGAAUUAUUGGGCGUAAAGCGCGCGCAGGCGGUUCUUUAAGUCUGAUGUGAAGCCCACGGGCUCAACCGUGGAGGGUCAUUGGAAACUGGAGAACUUGAGUACAGAAGAGGAAAGCGGAAUUCCACGUGUAGCGGUGAAAUGCGUAGAGAUGUGGAGGAACACCAGUGGCGAAGGCGGCUUUCUGGUCUGUAACUGACGCUGAGGCGCGAAAGCGUGGGGAGCAAACAGGAUUAGAUACCCUGGUAGUCCACGCCGUAAACGAUGAGUGCUAAGUGUUAGGGGGGUUUCCGCCCCUUAGUGCUGCAGCUAACGCAUUAAGCACUCCGCCUGGGGAGUACGGCCGCAAGGCUG